CGCCUAACACAUGCAAGUCGAACGAAGUAGCAAUACUUAGUGGCAGACGGGUGAGUAACAUGUGGGUAUCUACCCUUUGGCCUGGAAUAACACGAGGAAACUUGUGCUAAUACCGGAUAAGUCUUUACAGAGAAAGCUUUAUGCACCAUUGGAUGAGCCCGCACUUGAUUAGUUUGUUGGUAGGGUAAUGGCCUACCAAGACUGUGAUCAAUAGCUGAUUUGAGAGGAUGAUCAGCCACAUUGGGACUGAGACACGGCCCAAACUCCUACGGGAGGCAGCAGUGGGGAAUCUUGCACAAUGGAGGAAACUCUGAUGCAGCGAUGCCGCGUGAGUGAAGAAGGCCUUUGGGUUGUAAAGCUCUUUCGUCGGGGAAGAAAAUGACUGUACCCGAAUAAGAAGGUCCGGCUAACUUCGUGCCAGCAGCCGCGGUAAUACGAAGGGACCUAGCGUAGUUCGGAAUUACUGGGCUUAAAGAGUUCGUAGGUGGUUGAAAAAGUUGGUGGUGAAAUCCCAGAGCUUAACUCUGGAACUGCCAUCAAAACUUUUCAGCUAGAGUUUGAUAGAGGAAAGCAGAAUUUCUAGUGUAGAGGUGAAAUUCGUAGAUAUUAGAAAGAAUACCAAUUGCGAAGGCAGCUUUCUGGAUCAUUACUGACACUGAGGAACGAAAGCAUGGGUAGCGAAGAGGAUUAGAUACCCUCGUAGUCCAUGCCGUAAACGAUGUGUGUUAGACGUUGGAAAUUUAUUUUCAGUGUCGCAGCGAAAGCGAUAAACACACCGCCUGGGGAGUACGAC
RNAcentral lists this ribosomal RNA (793 nucleotides) under uncultured Pelagibacteraceae bacterium. Its description in RNAcentral is "bacterial SSU rRNA". It matches the Rfam family "Bacterial small subunit ribosomal RNA", at positions 45 to 886 of the family's 1533-position model. Lineage: Bacteria; Pseudomonadati; Pseudomonadota; Alphaproteobacteria; Candidatus Pelagibacterales; Candidatus Pelagibacteraceae. The record is from RNAcentral.